AACGCGAAGAACCUUACCAGGGCUUGACAUGCAUCUGCAAGCCGCCGAAAAGUGGUCGCCUUCGAGGGUGAUGCACAGGUGGUGCAUGGCUGUCGUCAGCUCGUGUUGUGAAAUGUUGGGUUAAGUCCCGCAACGAGCGCAACCCUCAUGUUCUGUUGCCAGCGAGUAAAGUCGGGAACUCGGAACAAACUGCCUCUGUAAAGAGGAGGAAGGUGGGGAUGACGUCAAGUCAUCAUGCCCCUUACGCCCUGGGCUGCACAUAUGCUACAAUGGCCGGUACAAAGAGCUGCUAAGUCGCGAGGCCAAGCAAAUCUCAAAAAGCCGGUCUCAGUUCGGAUUGGAGUCUGCAACUCGACUCCAUGAAGUCGGAAUCGCUAGUAACCGCCGGUCAGCAAUACGGCGGUGAAUACGUUCCCGGGCCUUGUACACACCGACUGUAC
This 440-nucleotide ribosomal RNA is filed under the name uncultured bacterium. RNAcentral's name for it is "bacterial SSU rRNA". It matches the Rfam family "Bacterial small subunit ribosomal RNA", at positions 958 to 1399 of the family's 1533-position model. The record is from RNAcentral.